UCGUUUGAUUAUACGAAAAUACACAGUUGGUCCAAUCUUCUCGAACGUGUCUGGCAUUUCGUGAAGAGAAGCGAGGGAAUUGCAAGUUAAAAUUCGUAUACAUAUUAUCACUUUGAAAAAGUGCUGAGAUAGAAGAUGCUUCCGAAACAAGAUAUAUCUCAAGAUUAAAGUGGAUAAUAUACAUUGAAUGUAUAUCUAUCUCCAAUCUAACUUCUAAUAGACAAAGUGUAACGCACAGUAAGAGGAAACAUUAGUGAGAGAUUCAAAGCAUUCUAUUGCAAUAUUACGUACAGACGCAAAUUUUUAAUUUCUUCUUCUUUUCAUCUUCUAAAGAAAGAAAUUCGAGCAUCAAAAAAAUAUUCGAAACGACGAUACUAGGAUUUUAGAGAAAAGGCACGAUGUAUUGUUCAGAAUUCGUGACGUAUCGCGCGAACCCACUUCGGGGGAGAGAGAAAGAGAAAAGAAGGAGAAGGAGAGGAAGAGAGAAAGAACGAGUUCUCCUUUCGUCUCCCACCCCCGCUGUUCUGGAUCUAAAUACGGGAUUAAUAUUGAGAACGAAGAGACACACGCGGAAAAGGAUGAUGGGCGUUACAUGGACAAAUGAAGGAGUUAGCUGGCUGAAGAAUGAAAAAAGGAAAAAAUCGAGGUACGUCCACACGAAGCUAGCGGUAUACAGGCAUCGCUGUGAAAACAAGGAAAAUAGGGUUAAACAGGGAAAGGUGGUUACGUUUGUAGAUCAUCGUAAUGAGAUUACCGUUAACAAUAACGAAAACGAUAGGAAUAAGAAUAAGGAUAGACCGCAUCAUCGAAUCAUCCCCCAUUAUUUCUCACAAUUUUAACAAUUUUUUUCUCUCUGUUUUUUUUUUUGUAUAAUGCACUCAAUAUAAAUAUAAAUUUUCAUAAUAUCAGAGAAACAAACUUGAUACAAUUGAUACAAUUUAAUAUUUAAUAUUAAAAUUGAAAUUUAAUAUUUUUCAUACUGUUAUAGCCUAAAUAAUUAUUUCUCACAAUCAAUGAUAAUUUUCGUAAAAAAUUCAAAAUUAUUCGAUCUUAUGAAUAUUGACGUGUUUAUAUCUAAUCGGAAGGUCUCAAGCAAGAAAAAAACAUGCGAAGAAUUAAAAGUUUUUUAACAUAUUUUAUUAGAUUUGUCUGUGGAACGAACAAGAGGUUUCAUAAUACGAUAAUACUAAUCCUAAAUGAAAUCUUCAAAGGCUCGCGCGAUCCUCACACGCUGAAGAUCCAUCUGCGUCCCCCCGAAAAAGAAUUCUUUUUUUACAUUAUCUUUUACCUUUCAUCGAAGGGAUGACACAUACGAGAAAUGACUCGUCGGAUACGCGCGAGUCCCUCUUUCAUAACAAAUCGCAUAAUUUGAACAAAUCAUCACGUACGAAGAUACGAUCGAAACGGGAAGGAGAGAAAAAAGAAAAAACAACAUGUAUACGUAUAACAAUUAUACGCAAUUAUAGUCGUAGCGUAUCACGUUUUAAACAUAUAUAAUUAAUAUUAAAUCAAUAUAUAUCUAUCUAUGUAGGACCUUAUCAUACUUGUACGAAUUACAAUAAGAAGUCGAUAAUAUGGCACUUACUAUAUAGUUCACGGUGUGUGUCUCUGUAUGUGUUUGUGUAAGAGCCGAACUUAAAACCGCGAUACAUAAUAACAGAUUAGUUAUUGUCUAAGUAGUAGAGCGAUAUGCUUAUCGGCGCGGAGAGUGAAACUGCCCGCGCGUAACAGGUUCGUGCAGCUAAUUAACGGCUGACAUCUCUGUCACGUACGUGUGUAUACAUGUGUCCACGGCGUCGAUCCUGUAUGUAUGUGUGUAUAUGUGUGUGCCCGGAUAACAGACGGAACUGUGCACAAUCCUCAUCCCGUCUCAUUUCAUUUCGUGUAUAAAAAACGUCCAAAUAUAAGAUAUUUACGAUUUAUAUUGCCUCGUCGCGCGAUAUAUAAGGGCGCAGAAUCAUCUAAUAAUUUUUCGCCCCGAGCGAUCGGAAUCUCUAGUUCCCUUUCUCGCUAUCGUGCAUCUUGCAGCGAGUUCGCACGUUCAAUGGAAUUUGUCGUUAACGCAAUCGAUAACAAUCUCUUCGAAAGGAAUAAAAUUUCUCGAGAGCUCGGCGUGAUCGAUUAACUCGCUUUUCUCUCGAAAAUCUCGAAAAAUCGGGUCGAAAAUUUCUUGUUUUAUUUUGCGAUUGAGAUAUGGGAGAAGGAUAAUAUUUUUGUUAUCACAUACACACAGUGUAAGUGUAAUAUCGAGAUUAAUUGUCUUGAGAAAAGCGAGUCAGACCGUUCCUCUCUCAUCGCGAGUACACAUAUUUCUAUGAAUAUAUAUAAAAGAUUUAUAUUCAUGAUCUAAUUUCUCUCUUCUUGUGUGAAGAAUUUUCGAGAAUGAUCGAUAGACUACUUAGAGAUUAUAAUCGAACACACGAUAAGUACCUUCCGAUAAUAUUCCGAAAAAGAGUGACUUUAUUCUAUUCCAGAGAUCUCGUUUUAACGAGGGUGAGCAAUAUUACGAUUGUAUAUAACACUAUAGGAAGCUCCGUUCGCCGUCAACUCGAAUGGCGGAUUAAGAUACGUUCUUGGCGAAUUGUCGUUGUUGUACGUAAUGUUGUACGUAGUUCUAUACGCUAACAAAGACAUCCCUCUCGCGAGUCGAGACGUCUCGGUAAAAAGGCACACUUAAUUCUAGGUCGUUAAGUUUUUUUGUACGAUAGUAACUGUCGGAUCUCUCGAUUUCCUAGUGAUUCUCCGAAUCCUGCACGCGCUCAAUAUAUGAGAGUUGUGAUCGACAAUAACACUCUAAAAGAAAAGAAAAAAAGAAAAAAAAGAGAA
Molecule: long non-coding RNA, 2826 nt
Organism: Cataglyphis hispanica
Lineage: Eukaryota; Metazoa; Arthropoda; Insecta; Hymenoptera; Formicidae
Exons: 2
Source: RefSeq, a predicted model, not a curated record